RNAcentral lists this ribosomal RNA (494 nucleotides) under uncultured bacterium. RNAcentral describes it as "bacterial SSU rRNA". It matches the Rfam family "Bacterial small subunit ribosomal RNA", at positions 30 to 518 of the family's 1533-position model. The record is from RNAcentral.
UGAACGCUAGCGACAGGCCUAACGACAUGCAAGUCAGGGGCAGCACAAGGAGCAAUCUGAGGUGGCGACCGGCGCACGGGUGAGUAACACGUAUGCAACCUGCCUGUAAGCGGGGAAUAACCCGUUGAAAGACGGACUAAUACCGCAUAAUACUAAAUUACUGCAUGGUAAUUUAUUUAAACAUUUAUGGCUUACAGAUGGGCAUGCGCAUGAUUAGCUAGUUGGAGAGGUAACGGCUCCCCAAGGCAACGAUCAUUAGGGGUUCUGAGAGGAAGGUCCCCACACUGGUACUGAGACACGGACCAGACUCCUACGGGAGGCAGCAGUGAGGAAUAUUGGUCAAUGGACGAGAGUCUGAACCAGCCAAGUCGCGUGCAGGAAGAAUGUCCUUAAUGGAUUGUAAACUGCUUUUGCAGGGGAAUAAAGUGCAUCACGUGUGAUGUUUUGUAUGUACUCUGCGAAUAAGGAUCGGCUAACUCCGUGCCAGCAGCCGC